This 395-nucleotide unclassified non-coding RNA is filed under the name soil metagenome. RNAcentral describes it as "partial contains 5.8S ribosomal RNA, internal transcribed spacer 2, and large subunit ribosomal RNA". The stretch from base 1 to 120 matches the Rfam family "5.8S ribosomal RNA", at positions 35 to 154 of the family's 154-position model. The record is from RNAcentral.
GAUGAAGAACGCAGCGAAAUGCGAUUAGUAAUGUGAAUUGCAGAAUUCAGUGAAUCAUCGAAUCUUUGAACGCACCUUGCGCCUUUUGGUAUUCCGAAAGGCACACCUGUUUGAGCGUCAUGAAUACCUCAAUCUCCAUCUUUUCUUCGGAUUGAUGGGUGACUUGGAUGUUGAGCCCUGCUGGUAUGCUAUAUCAGCUGGCUUUAAACUUAUUAGCCGGCUCUGUACUGGAUCGGUUUGACUCGACGUGAUAAUAUUAUCGUUGAGGAUGCAUGUCUCAUGCAGCCGGAAAGUAUCAAAGCAGCUUCUAGCUUGCCUUUAGUGCACUUUUACAUUUUAGACCUCAGAUCAGGUGGGACUACCCGCUGAACUUAAGCAUAUCAAUAAGCGGAGGA